CAUCAGCUAGUUUCUCCUGUUGAUUUAAACCUUGUUGUAGAGAUGGAACAUUGGCUGUGGAUUAUUCUUGCUGCUCUUUUCUUUGAGUGUAAAGGAGAAGACAGAGUGAACCAGCCAACAGCUGAUGUCACUGCUGCUGAAGGACACACAGUUACACUUGGCUGUGAAUUUGAGACCAGCGUUACCUCGAAUGCUUAUUUGUUCUGGUACAAACAAGAAGAAAAUGACUUUCCCAAGUUUCUACUCCGACGCUACUCUGGAACAAAAAAUACUCAAGACUCUCAGGAAAACAGAUUUAAUGCUGAAGUCAACAACAAGUCAGUUCCUCUGAAGAUCCAGAAGCUUCAGGUGUCUGACUCUGCUGUGUACUACUGUGCUCUGAAGCCCACAGUGACAGGAAACACC
Non-coding RNA from Seriola dumerili (greater amberjack), 405 nucleotides. NCBI's taxonomy places the organism in Eukaryota, Metazoa, Chordata, Actinopteri, Carangiformes, Carangidae. The record is from the annotation of a RefSeq genome assembly.